RNAcentral lists this ribosomal RNA (369 nucleotides) under Triticum aestivum (bread wheat). RNAcentral's name for it is "partial small subunit ribosomal RNA". Lineage: Eukaryota; Viridiplantae; Streptophyta; Magnoliopsida; Poales; Poaceae. The record is from RNAcentral.
AUGGAAGCUGCUGUUCAACGAGGAGGGUUGCCUAAACGCAGCUGGAAUGAUCAUGAGAGUACAGCGUGGGGGUGUCCACCCAAAUAUCAAAGGGGAAGUAUAUAUGGGAGUUUUUUCUGGGUUGUUACGACCCUAAAAGCACUACUGAACAGAGGAACCAAUUGCGGCAACAGAGAAGCAUGCCUUUCUCCUCAAAAUCCUACAUGUACUUGCUCCUUGUCCAGGCAUCCGAUGUUAGGAAAGAGAAGAGAUGGUCUUCGUCAGUUGCACUUAAGCAUGGGAAGGAUGCAGGUGAAGCGUGGACAAGGACACCGACGUUGCCGAGGUUGUUAUAGCAACGACACUCGAGAACGCUCAAGGGAAGAGUAG